This 1356-nucleotide ribosomal RNA is filed under the name metagenome. Its description in RNAcentral is "SSU rRNA". It matches the Rfam family "Eukaryotic small subunit ribosomal RNA", at positions 4 to 1374 of the family's 1831-position model. The record is from RNAcentral.
CUGGUUGAUCCUGCCAGUAGUCAUAUGCUUGUCUUAAAGAUUAAGCCAUGCAGGUGUAAGAUCAUAUCUAUGAAUGGUGAAUCCGCGAAUGGCUCAUUAAAUCAGUUAUAAUUUAAUAGGAUGUGAUUCGUUAAUUGGAUAACUGUGGUAAUUCUAGAGCUAAUACAUGCAUAUACGGCUGAACUUUGUUUGGCUGUGCUUUUAUUAGUGCAAGCCAGGCCCUCGGGCUGCAAAAUGGUGACUCUGGAUAACUUUGCUGAGCAUUUGGACCUUGUGUCAGUGCUAUUCCUUUAAAGUAUCUGCUCUAUCAACUGUCGAUGGUAUAUUAUAUGUUUACCAUGGUUGUAACGGGUAACGGGGAAUUAGGGUUCGAUUCCGGAGAGGGAGCCUGAGAAACGGCUACCACAUCUAAGGAAGGCAGCAGGCGCGCAAAUUACCCAAUCCCGGCUCGGGGAGGUAGUGACAAAAAAUAACAAUGCGGGACUCUUAUGAGGCUUCGUAAUUGGAAUGAGUACAUUCUAAAUCCUUUAACGAGGAACUAUUGGAGGGCAAGUCUGGUGCCAGCAGCCGCGGUAAUUCCAGCUCCAAUAGCGUAUAUUAAAGUUGUUGCGUCUAAAAAGCUCGUAGUUUGAAAACUUGCCUUGGCUUACAACAGACGUCUAAGGGCGUCACCGUUUGUCGAGAGCAAAUAUGGGUGACUGUUCUUGCCUUCUUCACUGAUUGGCUCGUAAAAGUCAUCGGAGAUCACUUUGAUUAAAUUAGGGUGCUCAAAGCAAGUGUGCUACUUGAAUAUGAAUGCAUGGAAUGAUGGAAUAUGUUGUUGUUCUAUUUGUUGGUUUUUUGAAUGACGAAAUGAUUGAAAGGAACUGUUGGGGGCAUUCGUAUUGUUGUGAGAGAGGUGAAAUUCUUAGACCAUAGCAAGACGAACUACUGCGAAAGCAUUUGCCAAGAAUGUUUUCAUUGAUCAAGAACGAAAGUUAGAGGUUCGAAGGCGAUCAGAUACCGCCCUAGUUCUAACCAUAAACUAUGCCGACUAGCAAUUUGCUUUGUAUUUUUAUGACUAAGUGAGAGGCCACGGGAAACCAAAGUAGGGUUAUGGGGGAAGUAUGGUUGCAAAGCUGAAACUUAAAGGAAUUGACGGAAGGGCACCACCAGGAGUGGAGCCUGCGGCUUAAUUUGACCCAACACGGGAAAACUUACCUGGUCCUGACACUAGAAGGAUUGACAGAUUGAUAGCUCUUUCUUGAUUUGGUGGAUGGUGGUGCAUGGCCGUUCUUAGUUGGUGGAGUGAUUUGUCUGGUUAAUUCCGAUAACGAACGAGACUCUAGCCUAUUAAAUAAUAUGCGGAAUCAAUUG